RNAcentral lists this long non-coding RNA (324 nucleotides) under Capsella rubella. RNAcentral describes it as "long non-coding RNA (CRUB_LNC002853)". The record is from RNAcentral. Lineage: Eukaryota; Viridiplantae; Streptophyta; Magnoliopsida; Brassicales; Brassicaceae.
UUCAUAAAAGAAAGGUUAUAGAGUAUCAUUAGUUUAUUUACUUAUUUAAAUUUUCGGAAAAGCCUACAAUACUUUUUCCUUUUCGUUUAAAAAGGUUGGUUUUAGACUUUAGCCACAACACAUGAGUCCCGAGACCUCUACGGUAAUAUUCCCUAUCUUGUGUCGGUCUUUUUAUAAACAACGUUGUAAUAAAAAGUUUGAAAAUAAAAAACCUGUGAGGAGAUGUGUAGGCAAAAUCAACCCAGCCGAGAUCAUCGCCGCGCCACUUGAGAAUACGGCCAUCCACGACGGCGGCAUAAGGACCUUCUCCUUGCGGAUCAAAUU